Varroa destructor (honeybee mite) is the source of this 6778-nucleotide non-coding RNA. The record is from RefSeq and is a predicted model, not a curated record. NCBI's taxonomy places the organism in Eukaryota, Metazoa, Arthropoda, Arachnida, Mesostigmata, Varroidae.
GGACUACACUUUAUCACGCAGACCCUUGCUCGUAUCUGUGCUAACAGGUAACAUUACAGUAGGGAAGCAAAGAGAGGGCGUCAUUCCUACGUAACUAACUUGCCGUUCCCUACCCUCUCCACGCGACCAAAGCCGCUGCUGCGUCGACCUGGGCCAUAUUGAGUGAGGGGACACCAUUAUGACGCUGUCUACACUUACUACGCAGAUGCUAGCAGAUAUAAGGCAGCUGUCGGAAGCGCAAGACCACACACUCGCUACGAGAGAUUCUCUUUGUGAAAAAACAAUAAUUACAGGUCGAAGAAAAGGCUCACAUUAUGAACGAGAAGUGUAACUGUCAGGCCAGCGGCCACUGCACUUGUGGGGACAAGUGUGACUGCAGCAAAAAGGGUUCACCAGGAGCCAAGCGCUUCAGCUGCAAAUGUGGUGACAACUGUCUGUGCGGUAAUGAUUGCCAAUGCGACAAGUAGACACGUACUUGAUCAACGCUUACCCUUUUUAAUGGAACGAUAUAAUUAUGCUGGAGAAUCACCUUGCCGAGCAUGAACAUUGCAAGGCGGGACGUGCGACAAUGGGGCACAUUGGCUAUCGAUAUGUUGUUAUUAUUAUUAUGAUUUGAUCACGGAACUUAUUAAUUGAUAACAUUACCAGCCUACUAUUCUGGUUGGUGGGCAUCGGGGGUAUGCCAGUGUGUAUCUGAAACACGGUUGAAUAAAAUUAUAUCGAAAUGCGUAUAUAAACACAUAUACAUAUUCGGACGUGUGCUUAUUUGGCUUUUGCUGAGAUAAACCGUUUAGGGGAUGUCAAGUACAUGAUUCUACAUUGCUCCAGCACCGUAAAAAGCGUCCAUCAAAAGAGGUUUUUUAAAACUGUACUUUACGAGUAUGUUAGUUUCGGAUUUUUACUAUGAUCACAGUAGCCUUUAAUUUGACCACUUCCUCUAUCUCUUAUCCAGGACUAGGGCGUAUUUAGACCUCGUGUAUAUAGUACUUGAUAAAAUAUACGGUAACUUUUUCGCCUAAAGCGAGUAUAUAUCUUUAUCUAGUAAAUAUAUGUUUUGUGCAGGCACGAGAAUGGUAUUGAGUCAAAUAAAAAUCCCAGAUUUCCCAGAAGCAAAGCAUGCAAUCCUACCAUGCAGGACAUCAAUAGACGCUAGAAAAAUCCAGUGCAUUAAGUACGCUUUUGUCUUUACUUUUUCUUAUGCUUCCAGCAAAAACAGCUGCUUUUAAAGUUCAAUUCAUUUUGUUGAUUAUUUACUAAUAUCAUACUGCUUGUUUCCGCCAAGGCCACCUUUUAGCCAAAUCUUAAUUGGAAAUAUACUUGUCAGUGUAACAGUUACCCAUUUUCCCACAUACAGAAAUAACUGAAUUUAGACGCAAAUGUUAUAGAAACUGAUACAUUUAGAAAAUUAACGAUCUUGAUUGGAUGAACCGUUUGACGCCUCGGCAAGCCGGGAUAUACGAAAUGUAUAACCUAUAUGUAUUCCCUAUAUCUAUUAAUCAAACUCAAAUCAUGUUGCGUUAUUCUCUCAAUAGAAAUAAAGGUCUGCAUUUGAAUAGAUAUUCAAAUGAGGCGGAGAAAGCAAUAACCAAAUGCAACGGAGGCGAUCUGUGGUUCGCCUUAUUACGACGAAUAGAGUUCAAAUCAAAGUCCUAAUUUAGCAAUCGGUGAUGACACAGUUAUUUAUUUAAUUCGCUUGCUCUAUUUAGACAUAUUGGCCAUUUUGGCCAGUAAGCAGAGUCAUCGAUGUUCGAAAGUAGGGUCAUUAUCACUACGGGUAUGAAAUCUGCAUUAUGAUGAUUUAUCUUCGGUAGAAGAGAUGGUUUAUUUAAGCGGCGGCAGGUAUUGCAAAGAAACACGUUCCAAAAAUCAAUUUCAUUCAGGUACUAUCGUAAACAGCAUUAGCAAUAAACUGAACACAUUAUUGACUUAAGGGUGAGGUAGAUCAAAGUUCUAAAAUAACCAAUAAUUUCUCUUUAAAACAAUCACCACCACACUCCAAGGGUUGAGACCACUUCAAAAAUGUUCGCCCUCUGAAAAUCUCUGUUAUAAAAACACACACUUCGCUUUAAUGUUAGUUAUUAAUAUCGUAACCCUUGGGACACAAUGUGGCUAAUUGGUAGUCUUGUGUAUUCGUUUUGAUUAUCAACAUAAACAUGACGGGGCAAAAUUACGACAGUGUUUUAGAGCUAAAAUACAAUCGCAAUGAAGGCUUAACCAUUACAUUGAGAUGACUUUCACACCAUUUCAAUAAAACCUCCCUCUGCGUACCCGUGCACUGUCAUUGUUUUUCUAUAAGAAUACGUACAAAAAUAAGUGUAGAGAAGCACGCUUGUGACAAGGUUGCGAAAAGGAGUUGUUGUGGGUCCGCUCGACCUCUUUAUGCUAAAGCUCACUUUUGCCAUGUUGAAACAACUAAUUCGGAUAGUAGUAUCUGAAAUGAUUUAAUGAGCCAGUAUGUAGUAGCUCAACCAGGCCUUACCUUUAUCACAGCAAUCAAACGAGCUAAUAUAUUUCCAAUAUCAAGAACGUGCUUGCUUGCCCAUCCAAAUAGAUGACUGCAUUAAGCCAAAAACUGCAAACCAUUUAACAAGCAAAUUAAUAAAUCACGAACUAAUACUCAAGUAUUUUAUCAAUAAUGGCUUUUUAGCGCCAAGCAGCAUCCCAUCUCAGUCUUACUUGGGUAUGAUUGAACCCGCCGCUCAUAAGGGUGCCUUAUACUUAUGAAUUGUAUCCGCUUGUGGAAGCCCACUAGUAACGAACAGAUCAGACAGCCGAGAUGCAUCAAAGGCUACGUACUAAUAAUAAUGGAAAAAUUCCGUGAAAAUAUGCUGCAGAUUUCAUUUUUGUAUAAACAUUUUCCAACAAUGGCACCUGGUAUACUGAAACGGAAUAGCCGAGAUUUUGCUUUGCAAACGUUACAGCCAGACUGUCGUGGUGAAUUAGGCACAGUUUGUCUGGCUUAAAGGGCUUAGAAUCACGACAAGUAUUUCCGCGAUCAACAGCGGUCCGUCGAUAAACUUAGACACAACGAGACCAUGAAAUUUUUGGAGAGUCAUUGGCUGCGGGUGCAAAACUCUAAAAGCGGUAGACAGCCUGCCGCACUCAUAAUUACUGUAAUAUUUGAAAUCUCCGUGCAGUAUAGUACGUACGGGAAUGAAACGGCACAUGUAAUCAAUAAAUUUGAAUGCAAUAAUACUACUACUACUGCUACGGAAAUUAAUAGUACAUUUUUCUACAGGUGUUCCAUAACAGUCAAGCUCAGCCAACAACGGCUGGAUGAGAAUAAGCAUCUUCUAAGUGGAGAAGGAACGGCGUGACAAGCAUUUAUCAAUAUGAAAACAAAUUUUUUGGCCUACACUGCACCGAAUCGCAUUGCGUUCGAGAUACCAUGUGGGAGAAUUCUUCACCUCAGUAAAAUCUCAGUUCAACGACGAAGAGAGCAAAACAACGCUGUUAGCGUAUAUGUACACGCAGUUUGAGCCCGCAUUCUGUGUGAAAGAAGGGUCCUGAAUGUUUCCGCAAACCAGCGUCAGCAUCUGGAGGGUUCGUUCUUCUGAAAAAGAAUUAACUAAAAGAAAUGGCUAAAAACUUUAAAUUUUUCUGAAAAUACAGACCAUGGUUUAUAUUGAACGAUGUUCCUACUAACUUUCCUAACUGUUUUUACUAAGGUUCCUAAAAACCUAUAGUUCUUCGUAUUUAAUGAUUUCGAAAAUUCACUGCCUCUUUCGGUUUACUGUGUGUAUGGAAAAGCAAAAUGCAAUUUAAAGUAAGCUUGUCUAUCAUACCACUCACAUUUGAGCACCCAGUGCCUAUGAAGUUAAUUUAUGCAGCUACUCGUAAAAUAAGGCUAAGCCUCCUAGUAUAUCACCUAUCACCUAGCUACCUAGUAUAUAUAUAUAUAUAUAUAUAUAUAUAUAUAUAUAUAUAUAUAUAUAUAUAUAUAUAGACAAAAGUUGUUCCAUAUUAACAAUAAUCUAUACGAAAAUAUCACUUUUAUUUUGUACAGUAAGCGGCAAUACAGGUAUUCAGCUGAUAUUGGCUACAUGGCACGCCUCGUGAUAAAUGUAGACAUUGCUUUCUGUGUUAUCAGCAAAUUACGCUAUAUUAUUAAAUUCAUGCGUACUAAUAUAUUAAAGCCCGGCGGAUCCGCAUAAAGGAGAACGCAGACAUUAUUGUUAGCAGUGUUUCUUCAAGGAAAAUGCUUGGCUUAACCUACCAUUAUUACUGAACGAUCCUACUGAAAUAUCAAGUAACAGACAACGAAAUCCCAGAUAAUCGAACGACUGAAGUUGAGCAAAAAUGCAGAAGGAAGCUCGCUCAAUCGGCACGCAAGCAUUCACUGCAUCAACUGAUUUAUAUUAGAAAUCAGCGGCUCGAUAAAAUUAUUUAAACACGACGUUCUGCUUUAAGGUAAAACUGGAGCAGAAAAUCGCCGAAGUUUAUAAAUAGGCUCUGAUUACUUUUUAUAACUAUUUUCUAUUGCUUCCUGAUAACUUUUAUAGCCAUUUGUUGCAAAGUGUCCUCGACAGUUUCAACGUAAAAGGCUCCUGAUGCUGGUGUGAUAAAAUAUGAUGAUCCGUAUUCAAUUUUUUUUUGUAUUGGUAGACCCCCAUGUGUGAGUUUAAGUAAAAUAAGUAAAUUAUAUUGUUCCCAUCAUAGCGAUUAUAGCGUGUAAAUACUUGACUGCCGUUUGUCCCUUGUCAUGUUACCAUUUAUCUUUUAUAAACAAUUUUGUCUUUGUUUCAGCCAAAGAUGAGGUCUUGGCUACCCCCGAGUAAGUCGCGGGAACUUACUUUGUCUAACAUGUCGUUGAUUCCACGCCACGCCAUUUGCUGGCCUUCUAAGUCGAAAUUCCAUUAAACGUAACCGAAGAGCUUUUAAAUUAUGAGCGUUACUUGAAGGCAAAGUUUAGCAAUAUUAGUUAAAUCAUUGGGCAGAGCCGAGCAAGACCAAACAUCAUAGCGAUCUCAGCUAUAUCGGCCAACAGCGACCUUGUGUCAUAGGAACCGUAGAUAUCUCAAACAGAAUUCACUAACGUACUAUCGACUCGAGUAGCAGACAUAGUAUUACUCGCAAGCUGCACUUUGUUGGACUGAAAGGGAUAUUAGCCAACAAAAAAAUCACUAAAUCAGUACUUUAUGUCCAGCCUAGAGCUUCGACAAACGACAAAAUCGGCUAAUCUUUGUCGCAUCUGGAUUGAAUAAACAAUCGUUUUUGCUUCCGAUUGUAGUCCUUUUUUUGGUUCUUUCAGAUGUAUAAAGUAGAUGCCUGGCAUUUUAGACCAUCUACCUAAUUUUCGCGCAUAAUUGAUGGAUCUAGAAAUUUGACCAUGCAUAUUUAUAUAUACAUGGAAACGGAAAGUGUAUGUCAGUUUCUGCAGCAACUAGCAAUAGAUAAAAAGUGGAAUUUUACUAUUCAUUCAAAUUAUUAGGAAUGGCUUGAACCAGUCAAAACUAUUCAUAAAGUAUAAUCCUCAGCAAUCUGGCCACAAGUAGUUCAUACCUAUGAUCAACGAGGAGAUCACAAAGGUGAACACGUUGAAAUCUUUAGUAAUUGCGAUUUACUCCUUAUAAUAACGGGGGUAUUUAUCGAUAAUUUCACAUUGACAUAUCGAAACGGACAAUCUUAUAAUAUUCAUUAAAAAAAGUAAUAUUUUAAGAGAAAAUAAAGUUCUCUAUAGAUCAGCUUGAUAUUCCCCCUGAUUCUAUGGUAGUCUAUGGUAACCUAAAGGUUAAAAAAGACAUGCUAUCGAAAAAUAUCAAAUGCAUCGGUACCGCAUUAGCUUAUGUUUAGAGCAGUUUAGGUAGCUUUUUAAUGAAACUAAUAGAUUAGUCUUUUCUCGUGACCGUUACUGAAAAAAAACUCAGGUUCAAUGGAAAAAUACUAACUUCAUAAAUUUAGAGUUACAAGACAGCAAAAUAACAGGUUUUAAUUUUGGUCUUUUGUAUUUUUCAUGCAGCAGACGAUGCUGUGUUAAACGACUGAAGUAGCUUGAGUAAUCUGGUACAUUUUUUGAAUAGUGCACUACCCUACUUGUAAAGAGUACGAUGGCGUUCUCAAACGCAAAUAACUAGUGGUCGUAGCAAAUAAAAAAAAAACUAUUGAUAGUUGUAUACGGAUUGCUUCCAAAAGUUUAAAGAUAAUAAUACGUAGACGGUAGUGUCUAACUGGAGUGUCUUCUAGAUAGCCUAAGAAAAAAUCAUCAGAGAUUUUUCAGUGGUUCUUCAUUUUGUUUUGUAUCAUCCAAUUUGGCGGGAUCGUAGAUUGCUACAAAACUAAAAAAGGAAUGGGACGUUGCAGGUUGUACAAUAAAUAUGAUUGCAACUAUUUCUCCAACCCAACUUUCAACAUAGUCUUUCACUCAAAUAUGAAACCCCUAAGUAUUUAUCAUUUUCAACAUAAUAAUCGAGAGUAGGCUGUCAUUUAACUCUGAUUGUUUUCCCGCCGAACAAUUCAAAUUUUUCUACUCCGGGAACAGUAUCGGGCAACCCAUGUGCACCAUACGAGUCGUUGGGUUUUAACAACAACUAACGAUGAGCAAGCUCAUUAGAAAUCAGCUGACUCACAGAAGUAUCAGGAAGAGUACAGAUUGUUCACAUUCGGUUCAAAUAUAAGCCCGCCCUUAUCACAGUGACGAAUAAUUCGUUUGUGCGUGUGCGGUACCUUGAUUGUUUCGCGAUUUGCAGUUCAGAAGUCAAGCACAUUAAAAUGGAGUUUCCACAUCUGGGCGACCAUUGCUCGGAGUCUUCGUGCAACAUACUCGCCUCGAUCACUUCGC